UACGUAGGGUGCGAGCGUUGUCCGGAAUUAUUGGGCGUAAAGGGCUCGUAGGCGGUUUGUCGCGUCGGGAGUGAAAAUCCAGGGCUUAACUCUGGACUGGCUUCCGAUACGGGCAGACUAGAGGUAUGCAGGGGAGAACGGAAUUCCUGGUGUAGCGGUGAAAUGCGCAGAUAUCAGGAGGAACACCGGUGGCGAAGGCGGGUCUCUGGGCCGUUACUGACGCUGAGGAGCGAAAGCGUGGGGAGCGAACAGG
This 253-nucleotide ribosomal RNA is filed under the name uncultured bacterium. RNAcentral describes it as "partial 16S ribosomal RNA". It matches the Rfam family "Bacterial small subunit ribosomal RNA", at positions 524 to 776 of the family's 1533-position model. The record is from RNAcentral.